CCUACGGGGGGCAGCAGUGGGGAAUAUUGGACAAUGGGCGAAAGCCUGAUCCAGCCAUGCCGCGUGUGUGAAGAAGGCCUUCGGGUUGUAAAGCACUUUCAGUGGGGAAGAAAGCCUUGGGGCUAAUACCCUCGAGGAAGGACAUCACCCACAGAAGAAGCACCGGCUAACUCCGUGCCAGCAGCCGCGGUAAUACGGAGGGUGCGAGCGUUAAUCGGAAUUACUGGGCGUAAAGCGCGCGUAGGCGGUCUGAUAAGCCGGUUGUGAAAGCCCCGGGCUCAACCUGGGAACGGCAUCCGGAACUGUCAGACUAGAGUGCAGGAGAGGAAGGUAGAAUUCCCGGUGUAGCGGUGAAAUGCGUAGAGAUCGGGAGGAAUACCAGUGGCGAAGGCGGCCUUCUGGACUGACACUGACGCUGAGGUGCGAAAGCGUGGGUAGCAAACAGGAUUAGAUACCCGGGUAGUC
RNAcentral lists this ribosomal RNA (465 nucleotides) under Vreelandella stevensii. RNAcentral describes it as "partial 16S ribosomal RNA". It matches the Rfam family "Bacterial small subunit ribosomal RNA", at positions 338 to 795 of the family's 1533-position model. The record is from RNAcentral. Lineage: Bacteria; Pseudomonadati; Pseudomonadota; Gammaproteobacteria; Oceanospirillales; Halomonadaceae.